CUCAGUUUCCCGACAGCGGACUGCAGGUGGGCCCGAGCUGGGGGCCGCUCAACCCUGGAGGCCUGGCGAGGUGUCUCACUGGGUGGUGGGCUCGGCGGACUGGAGUGUGGAGAUGGUCAAGCUCCGCUCCCCCACAAGCAGGGUGUCCCAAAACCUGGCCCCUGACCUCCUUCCAGCUGAGGACAGGCAGAUGAACCUGUCUGGGUGACACAAAGCAAGAUUUUGGGGAGGGACUGUGAAGUCUGAGAAGAAGCCCUGGACAGAGGGCAGCUUCAUACAGCUGCCCAAGGCUGGGCCUUGGCUUUCCGUAAAGGGGGCUUUGGGCUUCAACUCUGCCCUCUCCUGGGAUCCUAAACGAGCCCCUCAUUAGUAAAAUGGGCUCUGUGCCUUUGCCAAGUGUUCCGAGUAUGUCUCACCCUCAUUCUUUGCCUGUAGCACCAAUGUCAUAGUGUUGGCAUGUGGCGGCUGCCUGACCAAUAGUAAUUAGAAUUAGUCAUGAUUCUUCUAUGGAGGAUCCAUGAGUUCUCCCUACACAUAACUCACAUCCUCAGGAAGUACUGAGUGGAUGGGGGCAGUCCUGGAAAUGUGAAGAGGGGUACUGGGUUCACGGCCCCUCCCACUGGUCCCACUGAGGGCCUUGUCCCCCAGGAAAGCCUGCUUCUCUAGCUCUGAGGCAUCCCAGAGUGGUGGUCAUCCGGGGUUUCCACCUGCCUGUUUUCUGGCCACAGCCCCUUGAUUUUCCCUUGGGGCCUCCCCACUCUUAGUCUGUAAGGUUUGAAUUGGACUGAUCCUCAAGCCCUAGCGGCAUGGCUGGGUCAUCCAAUCAGAGCACUCCAGGCCCCUUGGCUGCAAUCGUUGGUUCAGGAGCAGCCUCUGACUCAGCCAUCCAAUGAGAUGCAGCCCUGGGACUUUGUCUGGAACACAGUGCUGGGGUGAGGAGGCUGGAAGGACCUGGAUCUGGAGUUAAUGGGACCAUCACAGCACCCAGGGAAGGAGGAAUUGUGUACCAAGUAAGCACUCGGGGAUAAGAAAGUGCUGAUAACCCUGUUUGUGCUCCUGGAUCCAGCCAUGCCUGCCCUCCCCCAAUGUUCCAGUGAUGCAAGCCAGUAAACUACUUCUUAUUAAGCCAGUUUGAGUUGGGCCUUCCAUCAUGUACCACAGAAGAGCCCUGCAUUCAUCUGCCAUGACCUUAGAAAUGGUUCUUAAAUGCUAAACCAAGUCUCAAUUUCUUUUUCUGUGAAUUAGGAAUUGUGGCCACCCCAUGGGAGAGGGACAUGGGGUUGGAGGACAAAGGCUGCUUCAGGGCCAGCUCUGCCUCAUCCCGGUGGCUGUGCCAUCUGGAGCCAGUUAGUGCAGCAGCACCCCACAGCCUGGUAAUGUUCCAGCUCACGUGCAUGUGCAGAUGAGAUCAAGAAUCUUGAGAUGGGGACGCGACACAGGUGUCCCCGUGGGGUAGAGAAGGCCAUGGGACCGUAGAGGCAGAGGCCAGAGGGAUGCACUCUGAAGGUGGAGGAACAGGACUGAGCCCAGGAAUGUGGGUGGCCUCCAGAAGCUGGACAAGGCAACAAGACGGAUUUUCUGGAGGGAACCAGCCCUGCCCACACCUGGAUUGCAGGACUUCUGACGUCCAGAACUGCCUUGAGGUGACCCCAUGGCCCCAGAAUCCAGGCCCAGGCCCUCGCCACCCAGCCACCCCAUGUGCCAGGGCUGCACCUCCUCAGCCAACCAGGAGUCACAAGCUGUUCCUCAAACAUCACUGAGGCCAGGGAACCUGGAGCACCCCAAUUGGCUGGUGGAGUCGCCCAUGGGUGAGGAUGUGGGCUGGACUGGGCAAGAGGGAGCAGGUGGGUGAAGUUAUCAUGCAUACCCAACAGGAUGCAGAGAAGGGCAGGCUGAGGGGUGGGAGAAGUACCCAGGUCUACCCCUGACCUGGGCAGGCUUGGGGCUUCCAGAAACUGCAAACUCCAGAGGAGCCCCUGGGCUGGGGAGGCCAACCAGAGGCUCUGUCCUGGACAUGGCAGGUCUGGGAUGUCCUUACAAUGGCCCCCCGGGGACACUCAGCAGGCAGCUGUCUCUCAAGGGCUGGAGCCGAGCAGGGCUGGGGCUGGAGAUGUGUACUGGAGAAUCCUUGGUGACCAAGCAGUAAUUGAAGCCAUGGCUGGUGAGAAGCCAAGUGAGGCGGAUGUGAGGGGAGGAAGGCCCUGCCAGCCGGUAGCACACCUUCUCCAGGGAAGAUGGGCAAAGAGGAGGGGCAUUCUGGGGGCUGCAGAGGGACCACCAUGCGGCAGGGCCAUGUAGAAGGCAGAGGCGGGGAGGUUCCCAGCGUUCUGGGGCCACACUGCUGUAACUUUGUGUAAGGAGAACAUGUCAGCUUCCCAGGGUUUGUGCUGGCCAGCAGCGGUCACGCCAGGAUGAUGACAAAACAGCACUUUUGACCCAAGACCAGGCCUGACAGCAACUCAGGAGGCAGUGAGGGAAGCUGGGCAGGGAGGUGGUCCUGGCUGGAGGUGGCUUCAACCUGAUGUGGGGGUGGGUGCCUGGAGUGCCAGCUGCCACCGGGGUGAACUCCAGCUGAUGUAAGGCGGACAGCUUUUGUACCCCCGGUCACUGCUCAUUGGCAACUCCUGACCCAGGAGCGAUGGAGCCCCUUGUGCCAUGCGGCUCUUUUUCCAUAGAAGGGCAGCUGGAAGGGGACAGGGCGGGAACUCUAGGGAACCAGAGAGCUGACCAGAGGUGGCCUGGGUCCACACGUUCACUAGGAACCACCAUGCCCUGUGUCCCAUCCUGGCCUCCAGGGGCCCAGUGGCAGCUAGAUCACGAACACUUGUGGUGGACUGCUCAGGUGAGGGCAUGUUGUGGCUGCCACUGAGUGAUCCACUCUGGCUUCAUCUUACCUAUUGCUGUAUGACAAAUUACUCCAAAACUUCAAGUAUAAAACACUAAUAAUUUAGGUCAUGAAUCUGCCAGUUGGCUGGGUGUCCUCAUGGCAUGGCCAUUGGUGUCCUCUGUGUGUGUGUGUGUGGGGGGUCACCUUUUGUGACAUAGCCAUGGAAAUCAUGCAGUGUCACAAAAGCCACCCAAGUUCAAGGAGAGGGGAUGCAGAUUCCACCAAUGAUCUGCCUCUUGAGGGGCUGUGGGGAGGUUCUGGAAGAGCAUGUGGGGACGGACAUGGCCAUGGUUGUGUUUGGCAAGUGGGCACUUGAGCAUGAUUCAGUGGUUCUUUGGUUUGCUAACUGCCUGCCCUGUGCCCAGAGUAGGUGCUGGGAGGGGGGAACUGGCGAAAGGGUUAAACAACUUUCCCAUAGGAUCUUCCUCCAUCAGAACAAGGAACAGGGCUGAGCGGGGAGUGAAGUCACUUGCCGGCACAUCAGAAUCUGAUCCGGGAUUGGCUCCUCCGCUCCCUACAGAAUUUGCCUCCACGUAGUUCCCUUGGAGGUGGAGGGGCACCCAGGGGGUGCUCAUGACUAGUGGGGACUAAUCCCACAGGCACGUGUAUCCUCCAGGGGGUGCAGUGCAGGGUGUGGGGCCUGGGUUCAUGCCCCUGCUCAGCCCCUCGCUGGUGGGACCUUUCACUUCUCUGGGCCUCCGUUUCCCCAUUUGCCAUCUGGGUAGGAAUUCACCUUCCUCCUGGGCAGUGGUGGGUCAAGGACACUACAGAUCCUGACCUGUUACCUAUUUCCACCACCACUGUCACCAUUAUCGGCCCAGCUGACCUCUUCCUCUGACAGCUGGGGAAACGAGGCCCAGGAAGGAACUUUGGGCUGGGCAUGCAUGGAGAGCGCAGCUGGAGGCAGUGCCCACCUGCAGCCGUCAGGCAGAGCCUCGUGCGUCUGGGGGCCAAGUCCAGGGCAC
Molecule: non-coding RNA, 3852 nt
Organism: Manis javanica (Malayan pangolin)
Lineage: Eukaryota; Metazoa; Chordata; Mammalia; Pholidota; Manidae
Source: RefSeq, a predicted model, not a curated record